This 253-nucleotide ribosomal RNA is filed under the name uncultured bacterium. Its description in RNAcentral is "partial 16S ribosomal RNA". It matches the Rfam family "Bacterial small subunit ribosomal RNA", at positions 524 to 776 of the family's 1533-position model. The record is from RNAcentral.
UACGGAGGUGGCAAGCGUUGCUCGGAAUCACUGGGCGUAAAGGGCGCGUAGGCGGGGAGGUAAGUCGGGUGUGAAAUCCCUCGGCCCAACCGAGGAACUGCGCCCGAGACUGCUUCUCUUGAGUCCCGGAGAGGAAGGUGGAAUUCCCGGUGUAGCGGUGAAAUGUGUAGAGAUCGGGAGGAACACCGGUGGCGAAGGCGGCCUUCUGGACGGUGACUGACGCUGAGGCGCGAAAGCGUGGGGAGCGAACAGG